Molecule: ribosomal RNA, 430 nt
Filed under: uncultured beta proteobacterium
Lineage: Bacteria; Pseudomonadati; Pseudomonadota; Betaproteobacteria
Description: bacterial SSU rRNA
Rfam family: Bacterial small subunit ribosomal RNA
Source: RNAcentral
AUGUUGGGUUAAGUCCCGCAACGAGCGCAACCCUUGCCAUUAGUUGCUACAUUCAGUUGGGCACUCUAAUGGGACUGCCGGUGACAAACCGGAGGAAGGUGGGGAUGACGUCAAGUCCUCAUGGCCCUUAUGGGUAGGGCCUCACACGUAAUACAAUGGCCGGUACAGAGGGCUGCCAACCCGCGAGGGGGAGCAAAUCCCAGAAAGCCGGUCGUAGUCCGGAUUGUUCUCUGCAACUCGAGAGCAUGAAGUCGGAAUCGCUAGUAAUCGCGGAUCAGCAUGUCGCGGUGAAUACGUUCCCGGGUCUUGUACACACCGCCCGUCACACCAUGGGAGUGGGUUUCACCAGAAGUAGUUAGCCUAACCGCAAGGAGGGCGACUACCACGGUGAGAUUCAUGACUGGGGUGAAGUCGUAACAAGGUAAAUGCA